This 253-nucleotide ribosomal RNA is filed under the name uncultured bacterium. Its description in RNAcentral is "partial 16S ribosomal RNA". It matches the Rfam family "Bacterial small subunit ribosomal RNA", at positions 524 to 776 of the family's 1533-position model. The record is from RNAcentral.
UACGUAGGGUGCCAGCGUUACUCGGAAUUACUGGGCGUAAAGCGUGCGCAGGCGGUUAUGUAAGACCGAUGUGAAAUCCCCGGGCUUAACCUGGGAACUGCAUUUGUGACUGCAAGGCUGGAGUGCGGCAGAGGGGGAUGGAAUUCCGCGUGUAGCAGUGAAAUGCGUAGAUAUGCGGAGGAACACCGAUGGCGAAGGCAAUCCCCUGGGCCUGCACUGACGCUCAUGCACGAAAGCGUGGGGAGCAAACAGG